Molecule: microRNA precursor, 68 nt
Filed under: Trypanosoma vivax Y486
Lineage: Eukaryota; Euglenozoa; Kinetoplastea; Trypanosomatida; Trypanosomatidae
Source: RNAcentral
CCAAUGGGGUAAGCAAAAUAAUCUUAUGUCAAAAGAAAAAAACAAGAUUAUUUUGCUUAACCCAUUGG